GCCAUAGUCUAAGCUUAGUAAGCAGACUCCCUCCCAGUGGUAUUUGUGGAAUAGUACCCAAGUCUUCUAAUUUUGAAUUUGAUUGCCUCAGCUGUCCCAGAGCAUGCUGUCUGCUUUUUGCAGAUCCUUUGAUAUGAAACUCCGUAGAGUUCACUACUUCAGAGAGACGUUGGUGAAGCAGAAGUGCCUGUUUAUGUGGCAAUAGGAAGGAUUCAUAUAGAGCCUACUGGAGCCCUGAAUGCCACCCUUUCUCUUUCGUCCCAGCUCCUCUUUAUGCUAGGGAAAGAGGAUGAGUCCCUGAUGAAUACUCAGAGCGUCAGCAGGAAGUCUAAACUGUUUUGGUUGGGUAAAAAUGCCUUCUGGUAUCUAGGGGAUCUGGAAGAACUUGGAGAGAGGUGUCUAGGGGAACUGUUUGGUUAUGUCCUGAACUGAUGAUUGAGCCCCUGGUGAAGGAGUUAUGGCUGGCCCUGGAUGCACAAGUGUGAGCGAUUUGUGAUUCUCAUGUGAUCAUGUUGGUCACAUGCCUCUCCUGGGCUCAUUUAAUGGCUAGUCUCUGAAGAUCCCUUUCUUAAGUAUUUUACAGCUAGAGAUCCUUUUUACCUGCUGGGUG
This 610-nucleotide long non-coding RNA is filed under the name Coturnix japonica (Japanese quail). Its description in RNAcentral is "lncRNA (ENSCJPG00005001887.1)". Lineage: Eukaryota; Metazoa; Chordata; Aves; Galliformes; Phasianidae. The record is from RNAcentral.